AUACGGAGGGUGCGAGCGUUAAUCGGAAUUACUGGGCGUAAAGGGUGCGUAGGUGGUUAAAUAAGUUAUCUGUGAAAUCCCCGGGCUCAACCUGGGCAGGUCAGAUAAUACUGUUUAACUCGAGUAUGGGAGAGGGUAGUGGAAUUUCCGGUGUAGCGGUGAAAUGCGUAGAGAUCGGAAGGAACACCAGUGGCGAAGGCGGCUACCUGGCCUAAUACUGACACUGAGGCACGAAAGCGUGGGGAGC
This 247-nucleotide ribosomal RNA is filed under the name uncultured bacterium. RNAcentral's name for it is "partial 16S ribosomal RNA". It matches the Rfam family "Bacterial small subunit ribosomal RNA", at positions 523 to 769 of the family's 1533-position model. The record is from RNAcentral.